This 460-nucleotide ribosomal RNA is filed under the name marine bacterium 13703. RNAcentral's name for it is "bacterial SSU rRNA". It matches the Rfam family "Bacterial small subunit ribosomal RNA", at positions 19 to 476 of the family's 1533-position model. Lineage: Bacteria; Pseudomonadati; Pseudomonadota; Gammaproteobacteria; Alteromonadales; Pseudoalteromonadaceae. The record is from RNAcentral.
ACUGCUCAGAUUGAACGCUGGCGGCAGGCCUAACACAUGCAAGUCGAGCGGUAACAUUUCUAGCUUGCUAGAAGAUGACGAGCGGCGGACGGGUGAGUAAUGCUUGGGAACAUGCCUUGAGGUGGGGGACAACCAUUGGAAACGAUGGCUAAUACCGCAUAAUGUCUACGGACCAAAGGGGGCUUCGGCUCUCGCCUUUAGAUUGGCCCAAGUGGGAUUAGCUAGUUGGUGAGGUAAAGGCUCACCAAGGCGACGAUCCCUAGCUGGUUUGAGAGGAUGAUCAGCCACACUGGAACUGAGACACGGUCCAGACUCCUACGGGAGGCAGCAGUGGGGAAUAUUGCACAAUGGGCGCAAGCCUGAUGCAGCCAUGCCGCGUGUGUGAAGAAGGCCUUCGGGUUGUAAAGCACUUUCAGUCAGGAGGAAAGGUUAGUAGUUAAUACCUGCUAGCUGUGACGUU